GAUGAAGAACGUAGCGAAAUGCGAUAAGUAAUGUGAAUUGCAGAAUUCAGUGAAUCAUCGAAUCUUUGAACGCACAUUGCGCCCUUUGGUAUUCCGAAGGGCAUGCCUGUUCGAGCGUCAUUUCACCACUCAAGCCUGGCUUGGUAUUGGGCGCCGCGGUCGAUCCGCGCGCCUCAAAGUCUCCGGCUGAGCUGUCCGUCUCUAAGCGUUGUGAUUUCAUUAAUCGCUUCGGAGUGCGGGCGGCCGCGGCCGUUAAAUCUUUCACAAGGUUGACCUCGGAUCAGGUAGGGAUACCCGCUGAACUUAAGCAUAUCAAUAAGCUGAGGA
RNAcentral lists this unclassified non-coding RNA (327 nucleotides) under soil metagenome. Its description in RNAcentral is "partial contains 5.8S ribosomal RNA, internal transcribed spacer 2, and large subunit ribosomal RNA". The stretch from base 1 to 120 matches the Rfam family "5.8S ribosomal RNA", at positions 35 to 154 of the family's 154-position model. The record is from RNAcentral.